GUCCAGACUCCUACGGGAGGCAGCAGUGGGGAAUAUUGGUCAAUGGGCGCGAGCCUGAACCAGCCAAGUCGCGUGAGGGAAGACGGUCCUAUGGAUUGUAAACCUCUUUUGUCGGGGAGCAAAAGACGCCACGCGUGGCGUUCCGAGAGUACCCGAAGAAAAAGCAUCGGCUAACUACGUGCCAGCAGCCGCGGUAAUACGUAGGGGGCAAGCGUUAUCCGGAUUUACUGGGUGUAAAGGGAGCGUAGACGGCUGUACAAGUCUGAAGUGAAAGCCCGUGGCUCAACCGCGGAACUGCUUUGGAAACUGUAAAGCUGGAGUACUGGAGAGGCAGGCGGAAUUCCUAGUGUAGCGGUGAAAUGCGUAGAUAUUAGGAGGAACACCAGUGGCGAAGGCGGCCUGCUGGACAGAAACUGACGUUGAGGCUCGAAAGCGUGGGGAGCAAACAGGAUUAGAUACCCGGGUAAG
This 468-nucleotide ribosomal RNA is filed under the name uncultured bacterium. Its description in RNAcentral is "bacterial SSU rRNA". It matches the Rfam family "Bacterial small subunit ribosomal RNA", at positions 329 to 793 of the family's 1533-position model. The record is from RNAcentral.